CAGAGAAGAUUUUUUGAAGAUGAGCAGUUGAAUCAUAACCCUUCGAAAAAAACAAAUCACUUUUAAUAACGCCUUCCGCUCCACACAUCAAACGCUGUCUUGCAAUUAUAUUCGAGACAUUCACCGAAACAUCAUAGCCUAUUCAGCUGAAGCGCAGCGGUUCUCACUGCGUUAUUUUCCAAGGAUACACGAGGAUACAACAUAAGAAUGUGAACAGUCUUAUUUAUCUGAAGUGAAGCUAUGACAUGGGAAUAAGCAUCCGUUAUGGUCACAUCACGCAAAGCGUCCCAACAUUUUUGGAAACGUGGUUGUACAUGGACUCCUGUCUACCCUGGUUGACGGAACUGAGCAGAGUUGGUGUACUAAACAGUGGUCUCUCAUCAACUAUUUGUGCCAUACUACCGCAGUGUUUACAGGGGCUGACUGAGUGCCGGAAUGUGUGACCCACCUCUACAGUUCAUAAUGAGAUGAUUAUGGAAAAGAGUGAAAUUAUUUGGGUAUUUGUAAAACAGCAGCCACACAUCAAUUAUCAUGUCAGCAGAAUAAGACCCUCUGGAAUUAUUGGAAAGGCGAAACACCAUGCACUUUCAAUACUCUGUGAAGUUCAUCAUAAUUUAUUUACUCUUUAGCCAACUAAAUACGUAAUUUCCCCAGUUGGGGGAGGACAACACAACAAAAUUAUCUUGAGAUUCAAAGUUUUGUUUUAAUAUGAUGAUUAUCACAUGAUUGCACAUAAACACAUUUUCACAUCCAUUUUUCACUUUUUAUUUUUUACUGGAGUUAUGUACUUUGCUAACAUAAAGGGUGCUAAAAUCAUUUCUAGUUAUUUGCCAGGGGAGUCUCCUUGUCUCCAGUUUGAUUCACAUGAUUUCACCUGUGCAGACGCAACUGAUAUUUUAAGAGAUGGUUCAAUCUAAAACUAUAUACGUGUGAAAUGAUGGUGUCGUAUUUUACGAUAGGCCAUUCUUUACUUCUUUCCCUCCCUAGUGUUAGCAUCAUUACAUUGGUCCAAAUUCAUGAAUUGUAACUGUGCAAUCCACAAAAUCUGCACUGCAAGUGGAAAAUGUUGCAAGUGGAAAUAAAGAGUGGCAAAUGUAGUGAUUAAUUUGACACCAGAGCUUCUGACAGAGCCAACAGUUGAUC
This is a long non-coding RNA of Esox lucius (northern pike), 1143 nucleotides long. RefSeq lists it as uncharacterized. Lineage: Eukaryota; Metazoa; Chordata; Actinopteri; Esociformes; Esocidae. The record is from RefSeq and is a predicted model, not a curated record. The transcript is spliced from 3 exons.